Molecule: ribosomal RNA, 467 nt
Filed under: uncultured bacterium
Lineage: Bacteria
Description: partial 16S ribosomal RNA
Rfam family: Bacterial small subunit ribosomal RNA
Source: RNAcentral
GACGAACGCUGGCGGCGUGCUUAACACAUGCAAGUCGAACGGAAAGGCCUCUUUCGGGGGGUACUCGAGUGGCGAACGGGUGAGUAACACGUGAGCAACCUGCCCUUGACUUUGGGAUAACUUCAGGAAACUGGGGCUAAUACCGGAUAGGAGCUCCUGCUGCAUGGUGGGGGUUGGAAAGUUUCGGCGGUUGGGGAUGGACUCGCGGCUUAUCAGCUUGUUGGUGGGGUAGUGGCUUACCAAGGCUUUGACGGGUAGCCGGCCUGAGAGGGUGACCGGCCACAUUGGGACUGAGAUACGGCCCAGACUCCUACGGGAGGCAGCAGUGGGGAAUAUUGCACAAUGGGUGGAAGCCUGAUGCAGCAACGCCGUGUGCGGGAUGACGGCCUUCGGGUUGUAAACCGCUUUCGCUCAUGACGAAGCUUUGUGUGACGGUAGUGGGUAAAGAAGCACCGGCUAACUACGUG